Molecule: small nuclear RNA, 104 nt
Organism: Ictidomys tridecemlineatus (thirteen-lined ground squirrel)
Lineage: Eukaryota; Metazoa; Chordata; Mammalia; Rodentia; Sciuridae
Source: Ensembl
AAGUGCUUGCUUCAGCACUACUAUUCUAAAAUGGGAAUGAUACAGAGAUUAGCAUGGCCUUGCACAAGGAUGACAUGCAAAUUUGUGAAAUGUUCCAUAUUAUA